CAUGCCGCGUGUGUGAAGAAGGCCUUAUGGUUGUAAAGCACUUUAAGCGAGGAGGAGGCUACUUUAGUUAAUACCUAGAGAUAGUGGACGUUACUCGCAGAAUAAGCACCGGCUAACUCUGUGCCAGCAGCCGCGGUAAUACAGAGGGUGCGAGCGUUAAUCGGAUUUACUGGGCGUAAAGCGUGCGUAGGCGGCUUAUUAAGUCGGAUGUGAAAUCCCCGAGCUUAACUUG
This 232-nucleotide ribosomal RNA is filed under the name Pseudomonas aeruginosa. RNAcentral describes it as "partial 16S ribosomal RNA". It matches the Rfam family "Bacterial small subunit ribosomal RNA", at positions 393 to 616 of the family's 1533-position model. Lineage: Bacteria; Pseudomonadati; Pseudomonadota; Gammaproteobacteria; Pseudomonadales; Pseudomonadaceae. The record is from RNAcentral.